This 254-nucleotide ribosomal RNA is filed under the name uncultured bacterium. Its description in RNAcentral is "partial 16S ribosomal RNA". It matches the Rfam family "Bacterial small subunit ribosomal RNA", at positions 524 to 776 of the family's 1533-position model. The record is from RNAcentral.
UACAGAGGUGGCUAGCGUUGUUCGGAUUCAUUGGGUGUAAAGGGUGCGUAGGCGGCCCGAAAAGUCAGAUGUGAAAGCCUAGAGCUCAACUCUAGAAUUGCAUUUGAAACUCUCGGGCUCGAGUGUGGAAGAGGUGAAGGGAAUUCCCGGUGUAAGGGUGAAAUCUGCAGAGAUCGGGAGGAACACCAGUAGCGAAGGCGCUUCACUGGUCCACAACUGACGCUGAGUGCACGAAGGCGUGGGGAGCAAACGGG